CCCCACCCCACCUCCAGCUAGAAAGAGAAGGAGAGUGGAUGCAAUCAGACAGCCUUUCAGUAUCCCAGAGAGGGGCAAUAUAUAGGAUUUUCCAGAUUCAUCUCUCUCUUGAGGUGGGGAAGGAACUGAGUGAGGGAACUGAUCCCAGCCCUGCCGCACAGCGAGUCAUGGAGCAAGUUUCACUUUCUCUCCCCUUCUUUCCUCAGAGGAUGCUCUGCACAGGAAUUUACAGGAAAAAAUUCAGCAAGGCUUUCCCUGCACUACUGUUUUCAAACUAAUACCAGCGGUGUUUCAUGGCAUCAAAUGACUACUGGGAUAUUCCCAAAGGAGUACCAAUAAUGAAAUAAAACAAAUGACACUUCAGCAGGAGGUAACAGUCAGUUUCUCAUAUGUUAAUGGCAGAUCCACGCAAUACAGUUAAAACACAUUCAAUGCACAUGAGCGCCUCAAAGAAUCCUUGGAACUGCACUUUCCCCCUCACAGGGCUAUAUAUCCCAGCACUCUCAAUAAACAACACUUCCCAAGAUUCUUUGGGGGAAUUAAUGUGCUUUAAAUAUGUAUUGAAAGCAUUUCAAAUGUAUUGUGUGGAUCUCAUUCACACUGAUAAACAGCUACCCAUUUUGCAAAGGUCUCAAGUAAUAAGUUUUUGUUUUAAAGUUUUCCCAUUUGUAAGAGAGAUCAGGGGUAUGAGUAGGAAUCAGUAAACAAAACCACUAAUAUGUCAUGUGGCGAAGGCCAUUUGAUCUAUUAUGGUUUACCAGUUCUAUAAUGUAUACAACACACCACUAUAUUAUAAUUACAGUAUUAAAAUUACAGUGCCUAAAACAGCCUGGGCAACAACUCCAGCCACAAUGAAAAAUAAAACUCAGAAGUUUCCCCUGCUUCAUAUUUAUAUUCCAUCCAACAACUUGUAUUACUCUGUAAACUCCAUCAGUGACUUAUCAUUCUCUUGCGUUGAUUUACCAGGCAGCGAACUAUCUAUCUAUCCGUUAGAAUGAAAACUUCUUACCCUGAUAGUUACAAAAAGCAAAGCUGACUAUAGGAUGGCAAUAGCAUCUCUGUGUGGUCUUCAAGUGCUGAAUGAGAUGCUUACCCCUUAAGUUAACACAGUGAGGCGAAGUAUUAUGGUGUCUCUUUUGUAGAAUAGGAACUGAGGCUGAAAGCUAGCAACAUGCCCAACGCCAAUCAGGUUCAAAUUUCAGUUCUGCUAUAAACUCACCAACCCCAACAUUCUGUCUUCCUAGAGUCUAUUUAAAUUCACUUUGAGCAGGUCGGCAUAGGCAGCAGAAUGUGGUGGUGAAUACAUUGAAUCACUUCAGAUUCCCACUAUAGGUUGGGAAAGCACAUUUUUGAAUGCUUUGUUCAAAUAAAAUACUUCAUGGAGGUAGAAAACUACAGCAGGGAACACACUGGGCUAGACCCUGUUUCUCUCUGAUGUACUAGGCUUUUUGUUUUUGUUUGAAAGGAAUGUUUAUCCUUGGGAUCAUUUUUGAAAAAGUAAUAUACAGUGGUACCUCUGGUUAAGAACUUAAUUCGUUCUGGAGGUCCGUUCCUAACCUGAAACCUGUUUUUAACCUGAAGCACCACUUUAGCUAAUGGGGCCUCCUGCUGCCGCCAUGCCGCCGGAGCACGAUUUCUGUUCUCAUCCUGAAGCAAAUUUCUUUACCUGAGGUACUAUUUCUGGGUUAGUGGAGUUUGUAACCUGAAACGUUUGUAACCUGAAGCGUUUGUAAGCCAAAGUACCAUUAUUACCUAUAAGUCUGAAGCAGAAUUUAAAAAAAGGUAAAGGGACCCCUGACCGUUAGGUCCAGUCGCAGACGACUCUGGGGAUGCGGAACUCAUCUCGCGUUAUUGGCCGAGGGAGCUGGCGUUUGUCCGCAGACAGCUUCCGGGUCAUGUGGCCAGCAUGACUAAGCCACUUCUGGCGAACCAGAGCAGCGCACGGAAACACAUUUACCUUCCUGCCAGAGCAGUACCUAUUUAUCUACUUGCACUUGACAUGUUUUCGAACUGCUAGGUUGGCAGGGCUGAAGCAGUAUAGUCCAUGCUUAAAAACAUAGGAUUCUACCACCUAAUUUAGUUGCUUGAGUAGGCCAGGGCAUCUGUUUAUAAUUCAGGUAAUAUGACCAUAUCUCAGGUCCAUAAGAAUUACUCCAGCUUUUACUCUAAACACACUAUCAUUUACUUAUUUUUUUUAUCGUAAAUGCAUGUUUCUUCUUUGCAAUAUGAAGUCUUGGACCUAUUUGUUAUUGGAGAUUGAAACGGGAACAGGGAACCUGUGGACUGUUGGACAACAACUCCUCUCAUCCCUGACCAUUGACCUGGCUGGCUAGGGUUGAUGGGAAUCCAUCAACAACUAGGGGGGGGGGGUAGCAGGUUCCCAAUCCCUGGGCUAAAAUAUAGUCCCAGUGAAAUCAAUGAGACUAGAUGCUUAGGCACCAAUCAAAAACAUUCCUCUCCUCCCAAGGCCUUUGGCUAGUUACUUCGUUACGUAUUUUUGUGUUUCUAUAUUGUGAACCGCCCUUUGUUCCUCAGAGGGUGGGUGUUAUAGAAAUUUAAUAAAUAAAUAAAUAAAGUAUCUGUGUGCUUAUGCUCCCAGUUGGUGCACCUAUCCUGCUUUCCACGUCAUGUGGCCAGCAUGACUAAACCGCUUCUGGCGCAACGAGACACUGUGACACUGUUACCAAAAACUCAACACAUUAUAUAUAUAUAAUCUUACAUGCAUUUCUUUCUUUCUUUCUUUCUUUCUUUCUUUCUUUCUUUCUUUCUCUCUCUCUCUCUCGCUCUCUCUCUCGCUCUCGCUCUCGCUCUCGCUCUCACACAGAGUACAUAUAUGAUGCAUGUAAGAUUAGGCCGUACUCUAUUGCACUUUAAGGAAUGCUGUUAUGUAGCACAGUUUUAAAGCAUUUUAACCACUGUAACCUGUGGAGUAAUCCAGCGGCAACAAUCCAGAGGAAGAAACAGUAAAUUAAGCCUCUCUCCUCAUUCCUAUACACAUACAUUCAGAUUAUGUAACUGAUGGGCAGAUUGUGUGUUACAAUAUGAUGCCUGUUGUGGCAGGAACCAGACUUUUGAUUCUGAAUACCUGGUUGUCACAGGCAAUGAUUUAAUGCAAGAAAACGUCACUAGUUCACUAGGCUGUCUGAGAGUCUAGUAUAAUAUAUAGCAGGCUCUGCCCUGUGGUUUUCUUGGGGUUCUUUUGUUUGUUUCUUUGGCUAUUAAUUCCACAAACAUUUUGCAUCUUAGGUAACCAUAUUUCCUUUCUUCAAAUGGAGUUUGGAAUCAUUCCUAAAAAGGUGGUAAUAAACAUCAGCUUGCAACUAUUCGGGAUAUUGUAUUUUAUUUUUCUGUUGGAAGCCGCCCAGAGUGGCUGGGGAAACCUAGCCAGAUGGGCGGGGUAUAAAUAAUUUUAUUAUUAUUAUUAUUAUUAUUAUUAUUAUUAUUAUUCCUGUAUAUUAUUAUUAUUAUUAUUAUUAUUAUUCCUGUAUAUUCCCCAAGAGCUUUUUAAACAGAAGGAAUAAGUCUCCAACAUCAGUAAGUAAAGACACACAUUAGUUGUUCCCUUGGCUCAUGAUUUGCUACCAAAGAAUGUAUAAGCACUUCCCACAUUAACUCCAGAAGGCACAGAAACACACAAUCAAAUCCUAAGGAGAUCCUGGAAAGAUUACCAUUUCUGAGAGAUAUAAAAACUUCUAAGCCAUGUAUGAAAUUUUACUCUGCUGUAAGUGAAUGCCUUAAAACAUCCCAUGAAGUCAGGAUAGCAUGAGAGUCUUACACUUAUAACAUCUACGUCUUAAUACACAGGUGUGUACAUUUGUUUUCCAAAAAGAAUAUGGUAAGAAUCCCUGAGCCGUUCCCUUUCAACAAUCUCUUUCAAAUUCCACCUUCCAGUUUACAUAGAGCUAUGUGGCACUUUUCAAGCCCCACAGCAGCAUUAAUGGCAUCUUAAAUGUUUUGUUUAUGCUCUUCCUCCCCAUAUUCUCCCCCCUUUUUUUACUGUUUACCCUCUCCUCACUAAAGGUGACUUAAAUGCCUGUUCUAAAUUCUGUCUUUUUUCACAGUUAAAAGCACACUACUCAAGCUUUAAAAAUGAACACUUUCACACUUUCAAUUGCAUGUAUAAAUUAUGUUAUGUACAAUGCUUUUGGUUGAAAAAAUGUUUUAAGUGUUUUAAAAGCUUCCCAUUUAAACAGUAAAACGGCAAAUCUUAAUCAAUGUUUAUUAAAUACAGUACCGAAACCUUACAUUAUGCUAAGUAGACCACUAGAUGGCACUACAUAUAAUACAGCCACAUAAACUUAUCACUAAAUGCAUAAAAUGAUUUUCUUUUGUAUCAAGCAACUCUUACGACAUCUGUUUAAAACAGGACAUUGUAUAACAGCAUGAAAGAGGCAUAACUAUUCUGAUUUAUAUAAAUAUACCAAUGUUGAAUUCACAUGAGUUUAUACAGGUUCUUUGGUUAACACAAUUUAAUUAUUUAAAUCAAUUAUUUAUAUCCACCUGCUUGAAGAUACGCUGUGCUUUCAAAUAACUUGAUAAGAAGGUGUCAGACUCAGGUGUCUACUCAAUUUAUCAACACCACAACAUAGUUAACUACUGCAAUCUCCUUUUAAAUGACAUUUGUCUAACUUUCACUCUCAUGCUUGAAUAUUUACCAAUAGUAUUAAAAAAAUAUAUAAAUAAAUCCCCUACCAGGCUUUGCUAAAAGUGCAAAGCAGCUUAACCUAAACAGCAUAUAUUUAAAUUUUACUAAUCAGUACACCAUAACUCUAUCUCUCUUUUAAAUCAGAACCAGUGAAGGCAGUGAAUGUCCUGUGUGAGUGCCUGGAGGCGGUUGGAGGAUGGAUGGCGGCUAACAGAUUGAAGUUGAAUCCUGACAAGACAGAAGUACUGUUUUUGGGGGACAGGGGGCAGACGGGUGUGGGGGACUCCCUGGUCCUGAAUGGGAUAACUGUGCCCUUGAAGGACCAGGUGCGCAGCCUGGGAGUCAUUUUGGACUCACAGCUGUCCAUGGAGGGACAGGUUAAUUCUGUGUCCAGGGCGGCUGUCUACCAGCUCCCAUCUGGUACGCAGGCUGAGACCCUACCUGCCCGCAGACUGUCUCACCAGAAUGGUGCAUGUUCUAGUUAUCUCCCGCUUGGACUACUGCAAUGCGCUCUACGUGGGGCUACCUUUGAAGUUGACCCGGAAACUGCAAAUAAUCCAGAAUGCGGCAGCUAGACUGGUGACUGGCAGUGGCCGCCGAGACCACAUAACACCAGUCCUAAGAGAUCUACAUUGGCUCCCAGUAUGUUUCCGAGCACAAUUCAAAGUGUUGGUGCUGACCUUUAAAGCCCUAAAUGGCCUCGGUCCUAUAUACCUGAAGGAGCAUCUCCACCCGCGUUGCUCAGCCCGGACACUGAGAUCCAGCGCCGAGGGCCUUCUGGCGGUUCCCUCACUGCGAGAAGCAAAGCUACAGGGAACCAGGCAGAGGGCAUUUAGAAAACACCUAAAGCUCACUUAUUCUUUACUGAAAGGCCUGUACAGAGAAAUUCCCUUUUCUCCACCGAUGGAAUUCAUGCAAUCGCUCUUUCUUCUAGUUUUUAACAGGCUGUAGUAAUUUACAUCUGACCUGCAGAUAUCCAGAACAGAUUUCCGCAAACAGCAGUCGAGUUCCUGGAAAGUUCUUUGUAGUUAGAACUGCAGCAGUUUCCUCUGCAGCAGCCAUGAUCGGCUUUGUGCGAUGAUAGUAUUGCACAUGACCUUACAGCUGAAGUCUAGGAUUGCUGUCAAGGCCAGACUUUCCUUGUGGGAGGAGAAAAACUAGCCCAUAAAGACAACUAGGCAGAAAAAGCAGUAUUUUUAAAAUAGAAAUAUGGGACAAAAUGCUUAAAAUUCUGCCAUUAUGUCCUGUCAUACAGCCACUUCUCCUAGUGACUACUACUUCUUAAUUCUUUCAUAUCAUUUACUCCAGACUUUUUUAAUAUAAAAAAGCAGUAAAUGAAAACCAUAGGUUAAGAGCAUUUUAAGCCAAGCUCUUCCCCCUUUUCUUUUUCUAUGCUAGCCUUUAUGUAUGAAGUAGUUUUAAUAUUAUGAAAAUCCACCAUGAAUCUUAGAAUCACAGAGUUGAAGGAAGUCCUGUCUAACCCCCUGUUCAAUAUCCAGAGCUAGAACAUAUAACAGUUGGUUGUCCAUUUUGCAUAUCCAAUUCUAUAUCAGUCUUGAACUGCAAUACUGAUGUAUGGUCAGUAGUGAUGUAUGGAAGUGAGAGCUGGACCAUAAAGAAGGCUGAUCGCCAAAGAAUUGAUGCUAUUGAAUUAUGGUGCUGGAGGAGACUCUUGAGAGUCCCAUGGACUGCAAGAAGAUCAAACCUAUCCAUUCUAAAGGAAAUCAGCCCUGACUGCUCACUGGAAGGACAGAUCCUGAAGCUGAGGGUCCAAUACUUUGGCCACCUCAUGAGAAGAGAAGACUCCCUGGAAAAGACCCUGAUAUUGGGAAAGAUUGAGGGCAAAAGGAGAAGGGGACGACAGAGGAUGAGAUGGUUGGACAGUGUUCUCAAAGCUAUGAACAUGAGUCUGACCAAACUGCGGGAGGCAGUGGAAGACGGGAGUGCCUGGCGUGCUAUGGUCCAUAGGGUCACGAAGAGUCGGACACGACUAAACUAAACAACAACAAUGUGUAGUCAUACUGGCCACAUGAUCGGAAGCUGUCUGCAGACAAACGUCGGCUCCCUCGGCCAGUAAAGCGAGAUGAGCGCCGCAACCCCAGAGCCGUCCGUGAUUGGACCUAAUGGUCAGGGCUACCUUUACCUUUAAUGUGUAGAAAGCUUGCAGGAUUUGAUUAUUUUAAAAUAUAGAAAGAAAACUAUAGUUCUGGUUAUUCAGACAUUCAAAUGCACUAUACACAUUUGACAUAAAAUUUUAAUAUAAACAACACACCAGCCUGAUUUAUUUUUCCAUUUUUUAUGCUCAUAAAAUCAUUUAUACAAGUCAAAAGGUUGCAGAGAACUUUAGCGGGGAAAUUAAAAGGUGCUUUUUGGAACUGUGCAAAGGAAAAAUAUAGAAUCAUAAGCUAAACAUAUCCCCCUCCUUCAUAUUACAUUAAAUAAUUUGCAUUGAUUAUAUAUUUAGAGAAUUUUAUGUAAAAUGUUAAUAUGAUCAUAUAUACAAAAAUCCCUUCACAUUCCCAUCAAAGAGACAAGUUCUCAUUUGAGAUUGCAAAGAUUACCAAUAGCCUGUGGUUGGGUAGGUAAAAUCCCCAUGGUAAAUUACUUCAUGUAAUCAUUACUAUGUGAGCCAAAAUCUGUAAAAAAAAAUUAAGAAAGACAGACAGAGAGACAUUUCAGGAAGAUGCAGAAAUCCCCACACAUGCUACGAUAGAAUUUAUUACACACAUUUUAGUUUAGUGAAAUUCCACACAUCAGUCUAGAGGUUCUAAACACUUGGUUUUGGAGAAAUAGGGGGAAACAAAUCACUUUAUUGAAAUGGGCUUUUACCACUGAUGAAAAUGUAAUGUGGACAUUUUAAAAUGUUGCAAGUUAUAUUGAAAGUUACAACUUAAAACACAACCUGUAAAAUGUCAUUCCUGGAACAGACAGAGAGGUGGUGGGUGGAACUGUUUAAAGAACAUCAGAAAUUGUUUUGCAUUUAGGACUUUUUUACACAAGGUUAAAAUUCCCUUUGAACCUCUCUUGUGCUAUUUAUGCAUCUGAUCAUGAUUCACACAGAUGAAGAAGCGGAGGGGAAGCAUUUGUAGUGUGGGUGAGCAUUCUGGUCGACUUACAUAUUUGCAACAAAAAUGGGAAACCCGCCCCCCAAGGGCACUGGAAGUAGGAGCAAAAAAGGGGGGGCCAAAAGAGAUGUUUUUAUUACAAUGUGUUUUGGACCCAACUGGUCCUUCUUGAGGGAAACUGAGAGCCAAUGUAGAGUAAUGCUUAUGGUGUUGGAGUAGUUCAAAUCCCCGCUCAGCCAUGACGCUCACUGCACCCAGUGAGCCACCUUGGGCCAGCCAUGCUCUCUCAGGCUAACCUACCUCACAGGGUUGUUGUGGGGAUUAAAAGAGGAGCAAAGAAAGAACCACAUACAUCACAUUGAGCUCCAUGAAGGAAAAUUAAGCAUGUAGAUGUGCUGUCGCUUCUUUUCUUAUGAUUGGCUCUGAAACUUCCUGAGAAUUCUCAUUGGUCACUAGGCUGUUCAGGCAACAAAGGAGGCACUAGGAUUCCUCCACUCCUCUCCUGCCCAAACUUAAAAGGGGAUGUUAAAGCAGUUAUACUGCUUCUCUCGCUUCACAGCAGGCCCCUUUGCAGAAAAAAACCGUAUCUAGGUUAAGAAUGGUUAGCUGGGGAAUUAGCUGUUCACAGAUCAAGAAUCCUUAUACAGAUACAAGAGCUAACUUUUUUUCUUCUUACAAAUAUACAGCCUUCAAAACAUAUUAACUACUGUAUUUUAUUCUACAAAUUCCAGGUUACCAGUUUUCAAACAAAGCCCCAUUCAACUGGUAAGUCUCCCACUAACUAUCCUUACUGCUUAUCUACACACUGGAUUUCCCCUUUGAUACUAUUAGUCAAUUGUGAGAUGUUAAAAUAUGAAUUACUCGAAACAAGAGUGUUGUUGUAACUGGGUCUCAAACACACCUAAUAUGUUUUCUGGUAAAUAAAGUUUGAAGGAUGUAAGAUGAUCAUACAGUGGUACCUCGGUUUAUGAACACAAUUGGUUCCGGAAGUCUGUUCAUAAACUGAAGCGUUCAUAAACUGAAGCGAACUUUCCCAUCGAAAGUAAUGGAAAGUGGAUUAAUCCGUUCCAGACGGUCCGCGGAGUAACCGUUCAUAAACUGAAGCGAACAUUUCCAUUGAAAGUAAUGGAAAGUGGAUUAAUCCGUUCCAGACGGGUCCAUGAAGUACUUAAACUGAAGCGUUCAUAAACUGAAACAUGGGUGUAAUUGGUUCCGGAAGUCUGUUCAUAAACUGAAGCGUUCAUAAACUGAAGCGAACUUUCCCAUUAAAAGUAAUGGAAAGUGAAUUAAUCCGUUCCAGAUGGGUCCGCGGCAUUCAUAAACCGAAAAUUCAUAAACCGAGGUGUUCAUAAACAGAGGUUCCACUGUAGUUGUUGUUGUUUAGUCGUUUAGUCGUGUCCGACUCUUCGUGACCCCAUGGACCAGAGCACGCCAGGCACUCCUGUCUUCCACUGCCUCCCGCAGUUUGGUCAAACUCAUGUUAGUAAGAUUAUCAUAAAGAAUAUUAAAAUCUAGAAAUGUGACAAGUAGUAAGAGGGAUACUAGUUCUUUCCCCAAAGACAAUUGCCAGUGUUUUUAACCAUAAAGUGCUGCAUUGUGAAAAUAAUGAGGUAAGCAUGUCUUUCUAGUUUUUUCAGCUCCCCUUGUACAAAGGGAAAUAGCAAUGUAUAUGCCUCCCAAGGUGCCAAGCUCAUCCACCUUCCAUUCCUGUUGUGAUGAACAAGGCGUAGCUGACUAGCGUCUCAUUCAGCAGUCAGCUGGUUUCCACGGGGGCACAGUAUGCCCUGGAAAGGCUUAGCCAGGCAGAGCAACUGGCCAUAGCAAAGUGGAUUAUGCUUUUGAUGCAAUUCUGCAGUUUAGAAGUUACAUAGCUGCACACUUCAAAAAAGAAGCACAAUAUUUUAAAGAUUUCAGUACUUUUUUGUAUUCUAAAACAAGUUACAUUGUCCAUGGCAGUCUGUAAUAAUAAUAAUAAAAUUAAAUACAAAAACGGAAGUAUCAGCUAACAGAGUGGGACACAGAUUCAGUUAGUUUUGGAAUAAAAAGGUAAGCUACAGAUUCUGUGUUCCUUACAACCCAUAGGAAUUGGUGAAGUUUAAUAACUGAUGGGAGUGAAAAAUUAUAUUCUGGCAGUUUCUUUUCCAGAAUGCCUUUAAUAGACGAGGGAACACAUCAUGUAACAUUCACUAAGGAGGAGAACACAUAUGUGUUGACAUACUGUUUUUUAUUAGCAAGCUUCCAUUUCAGUCAAAUGACGCCAGUGAUCAAGAGUGAAAUUUGGGAGUUUAGAAGAAUGUAAACACAAGUUUUUAAUCUGAUGUUUACUUUGCUAUGCUUCUACACCAAGUGUAGUUUUAUUCUAAGCCUUGGGCCAUGUUGGUGGAACCCUGGUAAAUCCUUUCAUGGCUUCCCACAGUGUAACGCAUCAUUAGUCCCUUGAAGCUAAGGGUCUCAUAAGAAAAAUAAUUUUGAAUAAUUUUGGUUCUGCUGUCUUUCCCCCCCUCUCCCACCGGCUCUAUCUUCAUGUCUUCUCUGCAGUAUGGACAGAAAACAGUCUUCCAAGUCUUGAAUCUUAAAGGGUAUUAUGAUACAGCAAUGAUCACAAGAAAAAGUAAAUUACAGCUCAAAAUAUAUUUGCUUCUUAUCCCAUACAGAGUUUAGCCUGUAGUUUUAAAUCCACAGGAAUAACACUUUGCCAAUUACUGAACAUUUAUGUUAAUCUGAUUACUUCCCUCAUGAACAACCUUAUGCUUCUGUUUAAGGAAUUUCUUACUCUUGAAUUUAGAGAAUUUGUUCAAAGUAUCAUAAUCAUAUUGUAAUUUCUAGCUUCCCUAAUGUUUAACAUCCCUCCUGGCUCUUUACCUGGCACAUUUUUUCACAAUCUGCCAAGAUGCUAAUUAAAUUAACAAAGAGAAAUGAACCAAAGGGAGAAGUUUCUGAGACGAUCCUAGUCAUUAAAGUUUCACUCCAAAGCUUGAUUCCGCCCCCUCCUUUUCUUUCAAUGGCUGUUUUGAUUUAAGACAAUGUGGUCAAAGAAGUGUGAAUGUGUGAUGUGUGUAAUGGCAAUGGAGCCAGUGGAAGUUUCCAUUGGCUUUGCAGCAUUUGCAUAACUUGGUACAUAAGCACACACAGCAGAAUUUAGGAUUCUUGGAAGCUACUAGGGGAAACAGGGAUCUAUAAGUGCAAGAACAGGAAUCCAGCCAUGAGCUCCAACAACUUAGAUAUAGUCUUGCUGGCAAACACUUUAAUGCAAAGGGAGCUCAGAGAAGGACUAGCUGUUCUUACCAUACACACCAUGUGAAGUGGUCUCUGAGCAGGUUGUGUAGCUGCCCCUGCAACUUGGAGACAGAAAAUGCCAAAACCUCAACAUCAUACUUUGUUCUUCCCCUCCUGUUGAGGUUCAUUCCCACUUCAUGGAACAGCAUAAAGCAGUGGUUCCCAACCUGUGGGCAACGGUAUCUCUUAUCUUCUAGGGCCCUCAUAAAAUGCUAUGAAUAUUUUGUCUGAAUCCUUGUUCAUGGCUAACUUUCCACUUGCCCCCUUUUGAAAGAUCCCACCAAGGGCAUGCCAUUUGAUUGGUCUUUCCCUUAUCUGAGGCAGGAUCUUAACCACAAGAGCAGUGUCUUUUGAUGAGUGUUUAUUCUUUAGAUGGGGACGCAGGUGGCGCUGUGGUUUAAACCACUGAGCCUAGGGCUUGCUGGUCGGAAGGCUGGCGGUUCGAGUCCCCACGAUGGGGUGAGCUCCCAUUGCUCGUUCUCUGCUCCUGCCCCCCCCCCAGCAGUUCAAAACCACGUCAAAGUGCAAGUAGAUAAAUAGGUACCGCUCUGACGGGAAGGUAAACGGUGUUUCCGUGCGCUGCUCUGGUUUCACCAAAAGCGGCUUAGUCAUGCUGGCCACAUGACCCGGAAGCUGUCUGUGGAUAAACGCUGGCUCCCUUGGCCAGUAGAGCAAGAUGAGCACCGCAAGCCCAUUAAUCUUUAGAUAUAAACUUGUCUUAGUUCCAUAUAUAAUUGGCUGAAGGAACAUCACUGCUCUGAGCCUGCUCAGUGGAGUCCUUC
Zootoca vivipara (common lizard) is the source of this 11768-nucleotide long non-coding RNA. RefSeq lists it as uncharacterized. The record is from RefSeq and is a predicted model, not a curated record. Lineage: Eukaryota; Metazoa; Chordata; Lepidosauria; Squamata; Lacertidae.